UUCACAUUCAUUCUCAUCAUCCAAACACAAAGCCAUACACGCAUCAAUCAAUGUCUCAUCAUCCUCUCUUCCUCUGAAAGAACAGCGUUCAGUUUCUUCUUCCCCUUCCUGUGGUGCCGUGCGGUGUUUCAUGGCAGCAACAACCGGGUGAAGCAACGAAAACGACGCUGUUCUGAACAACAAAACGAGAAAAAACAAUGGAGGUUGAGAGGAUGAAACAGUUGAUGCUUCUUUCUUUUGGAAAACAAAGUUCACAUGUGGCUCUUGUGGGUGGAAACCACACCGCUGCAAGGUUCUGCACUCGCUAAAGUUCUCACUUUUUCCGGUUUUUUCUUCAUUUUCGUAUUCAUUUUCUCUUUUCUGCAUCUGGGUCAUCUUCAUUUUUUAGAUUA
Molecule: long non-coding RNA, 392 nt
Filed under: Medicago truncatula (barrel medic)
Lineage: Eukaryota; Viridiplantae; Streptophyta; Magnoliopsida; Fabales; Fabaceae
Description: lncRNA gene25276
Source: RNAcentral